GACGAACGCUGGCGGCGUGCUUAACACAUGCAAGUCGAGCGGUAAGGCCCUUUCGGGGGUACACGAGCGGCGAACGGGUGAGUAACACGUGGGUGACCUGCCCUCAGCUCUGGGAUAAGCCUGGGAAACUGGGUCUAAUACCGGAUAUGACUCCAUGACGCAUGUUGUGGGGUGGAAAGCCUUGUGCGGCUGAGGAUGGGCCCGCGGCCUAUCAGCUUGUUGGUGGGGUGANGGCCUACCAAGGCGACGAC
RNAcentral lists this ribosomal RNA (251 nucleotides) under uncultured bacterium. RNAcentral describes it as "partial 16S ribosomal RNA". It matches the Rfam family "Bacterial small subunit ribosomal RNA", at positions 28 to 280 of the family's 1533-position model. The record is from RNAcentral.